UGGAUGUGUUAGUGCUUUAACUUUGUUCCUGCUUUCCAAGCAACUUGACCCAGCAAACUAACUCUAGUAAUUAUUGUUGGAGAUAUUAAUGAAAAAUGGAACAGCUGCAGGAUUAAUUCACAAGGGUCUGUUACUCAAGAUAUUUACCGUUGAUGGUGAUAUCUCCCAAGAUUCAAUAGGUUCUUCCACUAUCAAGACGGGAACACUAAGAAGAAAUUUAUAAACCAGCAAAGAAAGAAGAAAAGGA
This 247-nucleotide unclassified non-coding RNA is filed under the name Hevea brasiliensis (rubber tree). Lineage: Eukaryota; Viridiplantae; Streptophyta; Magnoliopsida; Malpighiales; Euphorbiaceae. The record is from RNAcentral.